This 423-nucleotide ribosomal RNA is filed under the name uncultured bacterium. RNAcentral describes it as "bacterial SSU rRNA". It matches the Rfam family "Bacterial small subunit ribosomal RNA", at positions 207 to 622 of the family's 1533-position model. The record is from RNAcentral.
AAGACCUUGCGCUUUUGGAGCGGCCGAUGCCUGAUUAGCUCGUUGGUAAGGUAAAAGCUUACCAAGGCUUCGAUCAGUAGCUGGUCUGAGAGGACGGCCAGCCACACUGGGACUGAGACACGGCCCAGACUCCUACGGGAGGCAGCAGUGGGGAAUUUUGGACAAUGGGGGCAACCCUGAUCCAGCCAUGCCGCGUGAGUGAAGAAGGCCUUCGGGUCGUAAAGCUCUUUCAGCCGGAACGAAACGGUUACGGUUAAUACCCGUGACUACUGACGGUACCGGAAGAAGAAGCACCGGCUAACUACGUGCCAGCAGCCGCGGUAAUACGUAGGGUGCGAGCGUUAAUCGGAAUUACUGGGCGUAAAGCGUGCGCAGGCGGUUUUGUAAGUCAGAUGUGAAAGCCCCGGGCUCAACCUGGGAACU